This 253-nucleotide ribosomal RNA is filed under the name uncultured bacterium. RNAcentral's name for it is "partial 16S ribosomal RNA". It matches the Rfam family "Bacterial small subunit ribosomal RNA", at positions 524 to 776 of the family's 1533-position model. The record is from RNAcentral.
UACGUAGGGUGCAAGCGUUGUCCGGAAUUAUUGGGCGUAAAGAGCUCGUAGGCGGUUUGUCGCGUCGACUGUGAAAACCCGAGGCUUAACCUCGGGCCUGCAGUCGAUACGGGCAGACUAGAGUUCGGUAGGGGAGACUGGAAUUCCUGGUGUAGCGGUGAAAUGCGCGGAUAUCAGGAGGAACACCGGUGGCGAAGGCGGGUCUCUGGGCAACUACUGACGCUGAGGAGCGAAAGCGUGGGGAGCGAACGGG